This 497-nucleotide ribosomal RNA is filed under the name uncultured bacterium. RNAcentral's name for it is "partial 16S ribosomal RNA". It matches the Rfam family "Bacterial small subunit ribosomal RNA", at positions 28 to 507 of the family's 1533-position model. The record is from RNAcentral.
GAUGAACGCUGGCGGCGUGCCUAAUACAUGCAAGUCGAGCGAACAGACUAGGCUCUUGCUCCUUCGACGUUUGCGGCGGACGUGUGUGUCACAUGUAGGUACCCUACCUUUCUUUCUGGUAUCACUUCGGGAAACCGGCUCUUACCCCGUAUUAUCUUUCGCUCCGCAUGGUUCGAUAGUAAAAGAUUGCUUUGCUAUCACUUAUAGAUGCACCUUCGCCGUAUUUGCUAGUUGGUAAGGUCACGGCUUACCAAGGCAACUAUCCGUAGCCGACCUGAGAGGGUGAACGGCGACACUGGAACUGAGACACGGUCAAGAGGCCUACGGGAGGAAGCAGAAGGGAAUCGGCGGAAAUGGGGGAAAGCCUGACGGAGCAACGCCGCGUGAGUGAUGAAGGGCUUGGGAUCGUAAAAAUCUGUUAUGAGGGAAGAACAAAUGUGGAAGUAACUGUGCACGUCGUGACGGUACCGAAUCAGAAAGCCACGGCUAACUACGUG